GGAGACGUACCGAAGCGGCCGUAACGGGGUGCUCUCGAAAAGCAUUUGCCGGGCAACCGGCACGUGGGUUCGAAUCCCACCGUCUCCGCCA
Molecule: transfer RNA, 91 nt
Filed under: Bacillota bacterium
Lineage: Bacteria; Bacillati; Bacillota
Also listed under: 2 other names
Description: tRNA-Ser
Rfam family: tRNA
About the family: Transfer RNA (tRNA) molecules are approximately 80 nucleotides in length. Their secondary structure includes four short double-helical elements and three loops (D, anti-codon, and T loops).
Source: RNAcentral